Molecule: ribosomal RNA, 293 nt
Filed under: uncultured eukaryote
Lineage: Eukaryota
Description: partial 18S ribosomal RNA
Rfam family: Eukaryotic small subunit ribosomal RNA
Source: RNAcentral
GGUUGAUCCUGCCAGUAGUCAUAUGCUUGUUUUUGAGGCUAAGCCAUGCAAGUGUAAGUUCAUCUGUACAUAGUGAAACUGCAAACAGCUCAUUAAAAUUGUUGUUAUUGAUUUGGCAGGCGAGUAAAUGGAUAUCCAUGGUAAUUCUGUGGCUAAUACAUGCAGGCUCGAGACGAGCACACAUGCUAGCUUUGAAACCAAUUAGUGAUGGUCUGAACAAUGUGUCGAUUGAUACAACAUGCCAAAUAAACUUCAAACCUAUCAGCUCGUCAGUAUACUAGCGGUUUACUGAG